GGGGUUCCUAGUUCUAAUUUACUUUAGUAGUAAGUUAGAGUGUUCAAAGCCAGCCUCUUGGGGCAUUGAAUAGAUUAGCAUGGGAUAAUAGAAUAGGACUCUUGUCUUUUUAUUGGUUUAAAAGAUUUAGAGUAAUGAUUAAUAGGGAUAGUUGGGGCACUUGUAUUCAAUAGUCAGAGGUGAAAUUCUAGGAUUUAUUGAAGACAAACUUCAGCGAAAGCAUUUGCCAAGGAUGUUUUCAUUAAUCAAGAACGAAAGUUAGGGGAUCGAAGACGAUUAGACACCGUCGUAGUCUUAACUAUAAACUAUGCCGACCAGGGAUAUGAGGAACUACAUUAUAAUAUUCAUUUAUUAUAAUUCCUUGUGCACCUUGUGAGAAAUCAUAAGUUUUUUGGGUUCUGGGGGGGAGUAUGGUCGCAAGGCUGAAACUUAAAGGAAUUGACGGAGGGUC
RNAcentral lists this ribosomal RNA (451 nucleotides) under uncultured eukaryote. RNAcentral describes it as "bacterial SSU rRNA". It matches the Rfam family "Eukaryotic small subunit ribosomal RNA", at positions 734 to 1165 of the family's 1831-position model. The record is from RNAcentral.